This 482-nucleotide ribosomal RNA is filed under the name uncultured bacterium. Its description in RNAcentral is "partial 16S ribosomal RNA". It matches the Rfam family "Bacterial small subunit ribosomal RNA", at positions 30 to 507 of the family's 1533-position model. The record is from RNAcentral.
AUUGAACGCUGGCGGCAUGCCUUACACAUGCAAGUCGAACGGUAACAGGUCUUCGGAUGCUGCCGAGUGGCGAACGGGUGAGUAAUACAUCGGAACGUGCCCGAUCUUGGGGGAUAACGAGGCGAAAGCUUUGCUAAUACCGCAUACGAUCUACGGAUGAAAGCGGUGGAUCUUCGGACCUCGCUCGGACGGAGCGGCCGAUGGCAGAUUAGGUAGUUGGUGGGAUAAAAGCUUACCAAGCCGACGAUCUGUAGCUGGUCUGAGAGGAUGAUCAGCCACACUGGGACUGAGACACGGCCCAGACUCCUACGGGAGGCAGCAGUGGGGAAUUUUGGACAAUGGGCGAAAGCCUGAUCCAGCCAUGCCGCGUGCAGGAUGAAGGCCUUCGGGUUGUAAACUGCUUUUGUACGGAACGAAAAGCCUCUUUCUAAUAAAGAGGGGUCAUGACGGUACCGUAAGAAUAAGCACCGGCUAACUACGUG